UACGGAGGGGACUAGCGUUGUUCGGAAUUACUGGGCGGAAAGCGCACGUAGGCGGAUUUGUAAGUCAGGGGUGAAAUCCCGGGGCUCAACCUCGGAACUGCCUUUGAUACUGCAAAUCUCGAGUCCGGAAGAGGUGAGUGGAAUUCCUAGUGUAGAGGUGGAAUUCGUAGAUAUUAGGAAGAACACCAGUGGCGAAGGCGGCUCACUGGUCCGGUACUGACGCUGAGGUGCGAAAGCGUGGGGAGCAAACAGG
RNAcentral lists this ribosomal RNA (253 nucleotides) under uncultured bacterium. RNAcentral describes it as "partial 16S ribosomal RNA". It matches the Rfam family "Bacterial small subunit ribosomal RNA", at positions 524 to 776 of the family's 1533-position model. The record is from RNAcentral.